GUCCGGGCAUCUCCGAGCCGGCCUGGGGGUGGCUGAACUCUCUUUUGCCGGCCGAAACCCCAGCCCCCGCAGCCCCCGCAGCCGAUCGGUCCUCAAGCUACAGCUCCCCUCUCUGGGAGUCCCCGCUUUUGAAUUCCCCGGGGAUGUUCCCGCUGCGGUCCGAUGGACCUCCCAGAGCAGCGGAGGUCAGGGGAGCUAGCAGAGGCGGGGACGUCCCUUGGGAGUGAGGGGACUGACAGGGGCGGCCUCGUAACCCUGCGUGGGAUGGAAGGUCAGAGUGGGUUCCUCGGUGGGGGGCAACAGCGGGGGCUCUCCGGCAAUUGUCCCCGACCCUCCGUCCUGGGGAGGGCAGGAUCAGCGCGCGGGCUGCUUUGCAUCUCUUUGCAUUUUAGUGAUGUUUGGUCCAGUCCUGGCCCGGGCAGAUCUGGGGUUCGGGCGGGUGCCGGUGGGGUAGGGCUGGGGGUGGGAGCGGCGUUUCCUGCUGCGGGUGAGCCUUUUGCCUCGGAACUGGACCCGGGAGACAUCACAGCGCUGGGCUAGGGGCGCGGCUUGAACUCGCCUAAAGAGCUGCGCCCUCUCAGUAAGUCCCCAUGGCCCCCUGCCCCCCCGCGCUCCGUCCUCAGUCAGGCCCGGGUCCUGCCUGAAGGCGGGGGUGGACCAGAUGAUCUUUCUUGGGCCCUGGGCCUAGAUUCGAGGUCCCCAGGGUCCAAGUCCUGGGUUCAGAGGGCGGGGCGCGAGGGGCGGGGUCUCCAAGGGGCGGGGUCCCGGGGUCCCUGAAAGGCGCGGACCAGGCCGGAUCCACCCAGUCUCGCGCCUGCAGCCCGUGCCGCCCCAGCCGCUGCCGCCUGCACCGGACCCGGAGCCGUCAUGCCCAAGUGUCCCAAGUGCAACAAGGAGGUGUACUUCGCCGAGAGGGUGACCUCUCUGGGCAAGGACUGGCAUCGGCCCUGCCUGAAGUGCGAGAAAUGUGGGAAGACGCUGACCUCUGGGGGCCACGCUGAGGUAGGUGGGACCCACCCUGGUGGCAGGGGCCAGGGGUGAUGGCACCCCCUCACGGCCCUUCUCUUUGCAGCACGAAGGCAAACCCUACUGCAACCACCCCUGCUACGCAGCCAUGUUUGGGCCUAAAGGCUUUGGGCGGGGCGGAGCCGAGAGCCACACUUUCAAGUAAACCAGGUGGUGGAGACCCCAUCCUUGGCUGCUUGCAGGGCCACUGUCCAGGCAAAUGCCAGGCCUUGUCCCCAGAUGCCCAGGGCUCCCUUGUUGCCCCUAAUGCUCUCAGUAAACCUGAACACUUGG
Molecule: long non-coding RNA, 1299 nt
Filed under: Homo sapiens (human)
Lineage: Eukaryota; Metazoa; Chordata; Mammalia; Primates; Hominidae
Description: HSALNT0216857
Source: RNAcentral